This 22-nucleotide microRNA is filed under the name Sus scrofa (pig). Its description in RNAcentral is "ssc-mir96". Lineage: Eukaryota; Metazoa; Chordata; Mammalia; Artiodactyla; Suidae. The record is from RNAcentral.
UGGAGGCGGGGCUGCCGGGUCU